This 479-nucleotide ribosomal RNA is filed under the name uncultured Bacteroidota bacterium. Its description in RNAcentral is "bacterial SSU rRNA". It matches the Rfam family "Bacterial small subunit ribosomal RNA", at positions 355 to 828 of the family's 1533-position model. The record is from RNAcentral. Lineage: Bacteria; Pseudomonadati; Bacteroidota.
UGAGGAAUAUUGGUCAAUGGACGAAAGUCUGAACCAGCCAUGCCGCGUGCAGGACGAAGGCCCUAUGGGUUGUAAACUGCUUUUCUAUGGGGAUAAACCUCCUUACGUGUAGGGAGCUGAAGGUACCAUAGGAAUAAGCACCGGCUAACUCCGUGCCAGCAGCCGCGGUAAUACGGAGGGUGCAAGCGUUAAUCCGGAUUUAUUGGGUUUAAAAGGGUCCGUAGGCGGACAAUUAAGUCAGUGGUGAAAUCCUGCGGCUCAACCGUAGAACUGCCAUUGAUACUGGUUGUCUAGAGUAUAGUUGAGGUGGGCGGAAUGUGACAUGUAGCGGUGAAAUGCAUAGAUAUGUCACAGAACACCUAUUGCGAAGGCAGCUCACUAAGCUAUUACUGACGCUGAGGGACGAAAGCGUGGGGAGCGAACAGGAUUAGGAUACCCUGGUAGUCCACGCCGUAAACGAUGAUCACUCGCUGUUGGCG